ACUUAAAUUUAUUUUUAAUAUAUGAUUUUAUUUGUUUAUAUUAUAUAUAAUUAUUAGUUUGUUACGAUUAUAACUCAUCAGUCUUACAUUAAUAUUGUUUAUUGUCACAAGAUUUGUGAUAAUACGAUUUAAGAAACUUGAUAUAUUUUAUGGAAACAUCAAUUUAAUCUUCAUAAUAAUUGCAAAUACAAUACACAAAGAAUGUAAAAUAUUCUGUAAUAUACCUUUUUCUUUAUAAAAACAUAACAAUUCGGUAUAAAAUUUAAUGAAUACGUUAUUAUCAGUUACAAAUUGAUCAACAAUUAAUAUUCUAUCUAAUUAAUAUGAUCAAUAUUCUACUUGUUAGUAUUGUUAGUAUAACAAAAUAUAAUUUAUUCAAUUUUUGUCUAUUACUUAUUUCUCAUUUAUUUCGAAUUUUUGUAAUUAAAUGUUACUUGUAUUAAGUAAAAAUAUAAAAUAUUAAUAAAGUACGAUUUAAGUGACCGGUAUGCAUUCAGCAACUUUCCCUUGCUUAUUUGUAAUUUUUUUUGCAACUUGUUUACAACUCCUCUCUUCUGCUAAUAUAAUCAAAGUUUAUCAUAAAAUUUUACUAUAACAACACUUCACAAUUUAUCUGAAUAAUAUUUAUACGUCCGCGUUUAAUUACAAGUAUAAUGCCAUAAUUAAAAUGUGCAAUUAUAAACUUAUCAAUACUCGAUUAUCAUAUUUUUAUGCUGCCUAAAUAUGCAAAUUAAAAGGACCAAAUUAAUUACUCGAACAAUCACAUUUGCGUGUAAUCGAAAAUAUAUUGGAAGAUCACGGACGUAGUCCCUCCUUUUCUUAUCGAAUAUCGCCUGAAAAUGUAAAUAAGAUUUCGAUCGAUCGGCUACUAAAUUGGCUUUCGAUUCGCUAAUGCUUCACGGACACGACCAAGCGCUCAUGACCCGACGGGAUUCCGUUUUUCUCAACGUUAAUAAAUACACCGCAGUGCUUGAAAAAUACGAUCAAAGCGACAAUUAAUAGGGAAAAAUAUAGAAUCUCAAUCGUGGAGGGAAGAGGGGGAUAAAAACAGUUAACAGAAAGGAAGACUAGAAAAAUAAAUAAAUCGCGGAAAUAAACGAGAGCAACCCGACUAAAAUGCACUGAGGAAAACUAAACAAAAUUAACCGCUUAAAAUAAACGAGAUGCACGUGUGUCGCGCUUACGGUCCGCCCAUUCAUUCGUUCAAUUUUUAUCUUUUACCGUUUUAUCUGCUUGAUUAGAAGAGCGUGAUGCCGGUUCACGUUGCACUCGUUACGGUGCGACAUUACGGAGAGGGGAAGAGAGAGAGAGAGAGAGAGAGAGAGAGGAGAGAAACACAGAAGAAAAAAAAAAGAGUUAACGCACGCGGCCGCGCUAUUUCUAUUACACGUCAGCGGUCGAUAAAACGAACGUAACGCUCAUCCAGCAUGUAUCACGCCACAUCGUCGAUGUAUAAGCCUGUUACAUAGGCAGACGCGUACGUGUACGCACAACAAGUGUUCGCCGUGGCGCGCCGCGUAGUCGUGACUUGGAAGUACAACAAGAAAGCCGUCCAAUUUAAUUAGCGGCGAUAGCCGGCUCGCGAGAUAUACGCUGCCGAGUGUGCCGCCUGUCAUUAGACGUUAAACUUCAUUCGCCGAAUGCUCUCACGUGUCCCCUAAUUCCCGUCCAUUAAUAUUCCCCGCUUCUUUCCGCGCGGACGGCAAUAAAAUUUUCUUCGAGACCUUAAUCGAGGCGCGCGCCGUCUCGUCACGUUCCCGCAAUCUACUCGGAUUAAUUAAUCUGUAUACGCGACGGCACGUUGCGGCACGCAAGAGAUUUACGAUGCGGCGCGCAUAAUCGCACGUUACGAAAUUGCAUUACGGGAUACAAAUCGCACGCACGCGCGCGCACGCGCACGCACGAUAUAAAUCGCGGAUAAUCGCGUAGAUGAAGUCAAUGCUGGACGGUUCCGCCGAUCGUUACACGUCACGUUCAUUUACGCGGAGCAUCGAUCCCGCAUGUGAUUGCGCAUUAAGAUUGCGUAUAAACGAUCUUUUACAUAUGUGCCUUCUAUAUUUCUCCCUCUUUUCUCUCUUUCUCUGUCUCUUCCUCUCGAUUUCCGAACGAGGUCGAAGGGAAAAACGUUGCACGACGAACAAAUCGAAAAAGUCUUGUGGCUGAUACUGAAAAUUGACAGCGGCACCUCCCUCCCGGAUGAUAAAUGGCGGAUAAAACGAUUCGCGAGUUCGGAAAGACCGAAAGCAGGACCGUUUUGCCGUCACUGUGUGAAUUAUGAUCCCCGAGGAAAUGUGUCUCGUCGUUGUUUGCAGAAAAUUUUACACGGUCCCAUUAACAUAACGUAAUAAUAAACGUUUCGCGAGACACGCACGCGACUUGAUAUCGUAACAGAAACGACCGAUGCUGAUCCCAAGCAGAACAAAAAGUCAUCAGGACGUUAAAAUGACUCCAAAGUGAUAAUUAAAAGUUAUUUUUCGAGCACCUCGAUCCAAUCGAUUCGUUUCGACGUCAUUUCAACGUCAUCGUGACCUGUUGUGCUCCGAUUGGGAUUAGAGCAGUAAGAAAAAAUUAUAAUAAUAGCAAAAAGAAAAAAAAACUGUGCAACAAGAUAAUAUCCUUGGCGGUAAUGCCGGAAAGUACGAACGCGGUGACAAUCGAGGGCAACGCUCCAAAACAAAGAAACGGAGGCACGCCGGCGGAAUUCGUGGAAAAUUAAUAAAUUAACACAUUUCGCACAUGCAACAAGUCGCCCCAGUACGUCGCGUUGUGCUACAUUCGUUACGAGCGUUUAGCAUUUGUGAAGGUGUGAAUCGUUGGUACAAACGAACGAUUCUUGAUUAAUUAACACAAAACGUGAGCUAUUGCGCAUUCCUUCUAUUUUCGUAUGGGUAUAAUCGAUCUCUCUUUCAGUGUCGCUCGUCGUACUCUCUACUACUGGAGAUUCAAAUAACUCUAUAGAUUAUAUUUUCGUUUAAACUGUUUUUCUUUCCUGCCGCGGCACGCGCAUUGUUUCUAUUUAAAAAUUUAAUUUUUAAUUUAUCUUCUCCCCAAAUAGAAAUAUCCCCCAGUCUUAGAGUAUCAAUUGUUUAUCAGUCCCAUAUCAUGAAAACUUUACGACUGUUCCAUCUAACUUAGAUGCUCUCGUUAUUACUUAUGACUACAAAGUUCAUAUACAACGUUCAUUUUUUAUCAUUAUCGUAUUUUGUCAAGAUAAUCAGCUUAAAAAUUUUUAUACUAGUAUCAUUUGAGACGCGUACAAAGCUAAUUGUUUUUAUUUAUUAAUACCGCGUUACAUCUCUCUCUCUCUCUCUCUCUCUCUUGCGACGUAUAUUUCAUUCGCGACAGCAUAAAAUAAGAUUAGCGUAAUCCGCGUUAUAUUUUGCCAGAUUAUUUUAUCCAUUUUUAUCGUGACAUUAAUUGCAAAUGUUCCUUUUUAUCCUGUCUCCUAAAAUUAUCUCCACUGUCUCGCACUUUUAAACAUUUUACGUUUAUCCAAUGAUUAGUUGAUACCUUAAAUAAUGUUCCUUUGAAAAUAUAAAAAAAAAUUAAGGAACUUUUUUGCAUUCCCUAAAAAACUGUCGCCCCAGCAUUUUAGAUCGUCUUCCUGCCACGAACGAACGAUCUAGCUCGUAAAGAAGUUCCCGGGCUCAUCUGGCGAUACUCGAGACAACUUCCAAAACUGCUCUUCAGGAUCUACAGUGGAUCGUCCAUCGAGGAUCCUGGAAAGACGGCCUAGUUACACCCGGAUAGGCUCGGAAUGGGAAUGGAUCGAUGAAGCCGUUGCCUUUUCUGCUAUCGACGUCACGUGAUCUUCCAAGAAUUCGGUUUGACAAUCUACUUGGACCGCAUUUCAAUUUAGGCAAUUGAUCUUUCAAAAAUACUCAAGAAUGGACGAAACUUACAAGACUUUUGUCGCGUGAUUUUCUCGGUAAUAGUUAAGGAAUAAAAUCAAGGAUCACCUGAGUGUCAUACGGGUAUCAUCAGGAGAGAAACCGGGAUUAUUAUCGCCCUGGAACUAUUUUGAGUUCGCGAUCAACUCGAACGAACGGAUGAACGAGCAAACGCACCCUCUCUUCUUUUCUCACCGUCGCCGACGUCGACGCUUUACACUCUACACGACGAUCUAUGCCCGGCCACAACCAACUAGAUCACUUGCAAUCGAUCUGGAAUGUCGCCUUCGGGCGGGACACUGAGAGACCGUUCCGGGUGACCCGGCGAGAAAGACGGAAAUAGAAAGAGAGAAAGAGAGAGAGAGAGAGAGAUAGGGGGGACGGAGGGUGACAGAGAGUGUACACAACUGAGAGAAACGGAGGAGGUGCCACUCUCUCUCUCUCACAAGGAUCGAGUCGCGCGGCGUCGUCAACGACAAUGAGGAUCAGGAUAAACUGUCGGAGCGACGACGACGGGAGACGACGCGACGGCCAGGAUCGACACACGCACAAGUAGUUUUUCGCGUUCCGCGUCGAGUGUCGGGGGUUGGCCUCUGCCCCACUCACCUGGUAGCCGCGUAGGGUGCGCACCUACUACUACCCGACCGAAGAGGUAGGCUACCACCCGCUUGCGACCGACUCAACCGCUCACCACCUAACCACCACCCACUCCGCCACCCCACUGCUCGGCUCGCUAACGGCGAGUUAGGAGUUCUCUCUCUCUCCCUCUCUCUCUCUCUCUCUCUCUCUCUCUCUCUCUCUCUCUCUCUCUGUCCGUGGAUGUACGGAUGUUAUGUACACAUGCCUGUAUGUAUGUCUCUGUGGGCAUAUUGACUACCUACGCGUACGUGCCAGAUGUGGCCUGCGGGUUGUUAACGCGUUCCGCUGCCAUUUGGCAAGGCGAACCGUCGUGUCGCCGAAUCUGAUCUGGAUGGCUCACCUGUUAACCACCGGAGGCCACGUUUCCAGCGAUACCGAAGGAAAAAUGGUUUCAACGAGGUGGUAGCAGUUCAUCAGCCGGCGGAGAAAAGAAGCACGUAGAUAGUAAUUAUCUCUUCGUUCACGUCUGUUACAUGGGGAUAUGUAUAUGAGAUAUAUGGGAUCGUCUCUCCCAUUGUGAGAUAUUCAUUUAUCAGCGGGGUUUUUUUCUGCACGGAGACUUUCUGCAACACACUUUUUUUCGAAAACUAAAAUUAAAAGUUUGUUCUCCACAAAAAGCCAAAUUUCGAUUUACGAUUUUAUUCAUCAUUUUACAAAUUUUAAAAAGUUCGUAUUAAAAUAAUGAGAUAUACGUAUUCUCUCGGUAAAGUUCUUAAUAAAGAAACUAUUGAUAGAAAGUAUGCUUUUGACAUUUUCUUUUCAUUUUACACACAGAAAGAACGAUUUCCUAAAAAUUAGUUAGAUACAGAUCUGAAAAUAACUUCAGAGUUUCCUGCAAAGACAAAUCUAGCAAAAAAAAUCUAGGUUAAUGCUCAAUCAAUCUCUAUCACAUCGGGAACAAUUUGUUCCGGCAAAUAUCAAACAGGAAAUAUAAAUAUAGACAAUAAAUAUAACAUUUCCGCAAGAAUCAACCAAGCCCAGAGGCUUCCAUUUUUUUAAUGGAUUAUCAAAAUAUUAGUCAAGCUUUGUUUUGUUAAAUAUCCGAAGAAAAAUCACAUUUGUAUAAAGAAAAAUUUGUAGAAUUUGUAAAUAAAAAGUGAACAAAUUAUUAUGCUUUAUACUUUAAAUAAUAUUUCCUUUUUCACCUUUACCAUUAAUCUUGUAAAAAAGACAAAAUGUAAAAUAUAAAAUCAGAAAUUUAUACAAUAAAUUAGAAAAAUGCAAAAUUCCAGUUAGAACCAAACAAAUCCACAGUUUCUUAUUGUUUCCUUUAAGUAAAUCCUCGAAAUAUUAAUCAAGGCCUACAACUUUGUUUUUUUUACACCUAUUACAUGUCUGAAAAAAAAAACUAAAUUUACACAGCAAACAGUUUAAAAAAUAAGAAGCCUCUAUUUCCUAAAAAUUUAACGCUUGUUUCAUUUUUGCAGGAAAUUGUUGGAUCAUCAAGAUAAUUAUAUAGGACACUCAAAUUGCUAGAAUGUCAAAAUGCUUUUCGCAGCAUUGUACGUCACGAUUGAGCGUUCUAUUACGAUUAUUUUCAUGAUCUAACAAAAUUAUUUCGAAAUCAACUGUAUCUCUCUGUUUCUGCAGCUAAAUUUUUAGGUACUUCAGUACGCGAACCACGCUCGGCAAAGGAGGGGACAUUUCGAGACAAAACCGCGAUGAAAUUAAUAGAGCAUCGGCACGAUUCGCCCCGAAAAGGAUGUCCGCACGUGGAAUUCAAUAUCUCGACGCGAGCGCGCGGCAUUCCCGCCGAAGGGGAAUAUAUGUCGGUCCCGGCAUGUGACAUAUGUAGGUACUCAUGCGUAUAGCGCACAGGCCACGAGUCCCUAGAACUUUUAAUUUAACGGGGGUAAGAGGGGAAAGGGGACUUUUCGCGAUACCGCGUAUCCGUACCCCGUUGCUGAUUGCAGCCCCUCGGUUUCCUUUCACUUAACGACGUGCUGUAUCCUGGGCGAAGAUUGCGACCUGCACUCGCCGCCAUUAAUGGACCGCCCCGCCGCGCCGCGCCGCGCCGUACCGGACUCGCGCUCCCGUCUGAUCGCAAUCACACCUAUUCCACUUCGUAAUCGAACUUCGUGCGCCAGACGGCCCGUUUGACAAGCACGAACAACAACCGAAGUGUUUUCUCUUUUGAAACAGAUAUUGCCAAGAGUAAUAUUCACAGUUUCCAAUUUAGAAUCGAUACGGUCUUACUUCUGCGCCUGUUUAUCGUUUCGCGACAGGCACAGUUAAAUUGAUAUUCAGCAUUUCAAUUUCAAUCUUUUUUAUGAGAAAAAAGAACACGAUUGGGAAAAUUGCUUUUAAAGAGUAACUCAUUAGCGACUCGUUACUAGUUACGUUUGGGAAAAAAAUAGGUCAUUAGCGUUACUCAGAAAGUUAACAGAGUAAUUACAAUUUUCUUUACUUUUUCAUUAAAUUUUAAAUUAUUUUUUUAUGCGACAUCCAAUUGUCUAUGUCGCGGAUUGAUAUGCUUAACACGAAAAUGACCACAGAAAAUGACUAUAGUCCCGUUUUGGUAUUUUCGUUGAAUUGUGUCAUAUUUGUUACCAUUACAAAGAAAAAUGUGACUGCGUUGCCAUUUCCAUUGUCAUUAAAUUUAAAAAAUAUGACGUUGUCAAUUUGUUGCUGCGACAAAGUAACGGGAAAAGAGUAAUUGCAAUAAUAAUGACGUCCUAAAUAACGCGUUACUUUCCAACUCUGAAAAGGAUCAAUUUAAUCCUGUACACGUGCAAGAAAUGUCAAUUUCUACAAUUGAUGCGACAACUGUACAAACGUCAGAAAUAUUUAUCAGCGCAGGAAACAACAGCGACAUUUCGAUCCAAUUUGAUUAUAAAUUGAUAAAGCGCAGGAGAGUAACGACUGUUAUAAAUUAAUAUCGGCAGUCCGAUAAUUUGUACCGCGCGAUCCUCGUCAAGCUUCCAAUAAUUUCGUACGCUCGUUCAAUUUGUAUCUAUUCUUCGUUACCGCAUUGAUAGAGUGGAUAAUUAUACGCGGCCGAUACCUCAAAAUUAAUGACGAGAUGGGAUUAAUAUAAAACCAUUCUCGCGAUUUCCAACCCGUCCGUUUACAUCAGUCCCUCAUUUUCGUCCGCCCGGAACUUCCACCCGCGAAAUAAUCUUUUAUGCAACGAAAUGCAAAUUUGCAUAUCACGUUCACAUAUAUCAAGUAACGAUAGGAAAGGUCGUUCAAAUUAUGUUCGGAUUUAACGAACAUCUGGUUAAUUAAUAUUGGGAGAUAUCGAUAAUUAACAUUAGGAAAUUAAUUUUGGCGAUUAAUAUUAUUUGCAGAGGACGCUGGGCAAAUUUUGCCGAGUGCGCCGAUCUUUGCUAAUGCGAAGCUAAUUUAAUCUCGCGAAACGUUUCGUCACGUCGGCAAACGGCACGGCUUAAAAGGGAAUAUAAUUUUUCGACUUCCAAAGAACUCCGGGGGAACCAGCUGGAGCUACGUGGCGUCACGCGAUCAAGACCAAGGCUUUCGGAAGGCUCUCGACCGCCGUCCGAGGCUCGAAUCUCGGCGCUCUCGACCGGGAAAGAAAGGUGUAGGCGGAUCGCAUGCCAGCCGCCAGUUAACAAUCGAGGCCUCUUCGCAUUCUACGAAUAAGACCCGUGACACACAGUAGACGCGCAGUAAGGUCACAGACAAUGAACCUCGUUUUCAGUUCAGGGUCUGACUUGGUCGAAGACGACGACGGUCGUCGCGAUGGGCCAUUGGCGUCACGUCCUUCGUGACCCCUCGUGAUCGGAAGGGAAAGCGGUCGAUCGCGGCAAGAUCGGAUCGUGUGAUUAUAUGCCGUCAUUUGCAUCCCGCGUUCUAUAGGUAGACCGUCCCACGUGUCGGUUUUACUCUGUACAAUUCAGUCUCGAGUUUGUGGCGUCCGACGGACAGUAGACACAUACAGGGCGAUCCGCAAGAAACAAAUUGCUUAUUCAAAGAAUUUCUACACUUUGUGAGAAGAAAAUAUUGUUGAGAGGACAAAAUUUUUCAACUAAAUUAAAAUGUCAGUUCAAGAAUUUAUGCAAUUAAUUUAAAUGCACAAAUUUCAAUUCAAGUGUUUAUAUAGUUAAUUGAAAUAUAUAAAUAUUGGAAUAGACAAAAUUUAAUUUAGUUGGAAAAUUUAGUUAAAUUAACAUUUUUUUCUCAGUAUAUUAGAACUAGAAAACUCUUUUUUACUACCCAAACCUGCGUAUAAUACAAAAUUACAGUUAAAUAAGCAACGGUUUUCAUGGUAAGUAAAAAAAUCCAAGAUUAAAAAUAAAAGAUCGCUAUUUCUUCAUUCAAAAGCAAGAAACAAUGUAAUCAGAAAGAUAAAAUUUAAAAAAUGUUAAUAUUAAAAACGUUGUGGAUACACCGUUUAAAGUGAGAUAUACACAUGGAACAUAGAAGUUAAGUAGAAAAUAAUAAAGUGCUCAUGUGUCUGAUUUGACGAAACUACCUCCUUAUGGUACAAACAAAAAAUAAAAAAAAACUUCAUCAUUUAUAUCACCUUAUACUAUUUCACUUAUGCUUUAGACUUUUGAUGCGGCUUGUUUUUCUUUUUUAUCAAUUUAUUCCACCCUCUCUGAAAUUUAAUAUUAGAAAAUUCUUAUAUAAAGAGAAUUUUUUCUUAGAAUUUACUCUUGAAAGCAUAGUAGUCGUGGGCCAAUAUGGUAUUUCGAAGAAUUUUAUUCCAAUUUUAGUAGGAUUUAUAGGAAAAUUUUAAUAAAAAUUUAACCAUAUUAUUUUAUUGUGGUAGAUAUUAAUAAAUAAAAGCAGGUUACAUAAAAUUUUUCGAAAUACCAUGUAAACCCACGGCGAGAUUUUAAGGGCAAAUUCUAAGAGAAAAUUCUCUCUGUGUUUCAUAAGAAACUUGGAUCUAAAUUUGGUCGCAGAGAAAAUUUUACAGGAUUCAGUUAAGUUCUUUCGACGAAGACGAAAAGAGUUUGGGAUCCAAAAACUGCGGCGUUUCUUUUUCAAGCUUGCAAGUUAUACACGAGCGUGUAACACCGCUGCGUCUACACAGGUUAGGUAAACGUUAUCGUGAUAAGAACUUAUUUCUCUCACCGUUGGAAAGUAACAAAUAAUGAAUAACAGCAAAGGGAAAUCUUUUUUUAUCGCAGACUGCAGAUAAAUCUGAUAAUAAAUUGCACGGGUUCGCGUGACAUGUCUCACGGAAUUAAAUGCCGCCAUUGGCAUUUGAAUAUUGCAUCGCAGGUCUGCAAGGAAUCAAGAUCAGUUCACGCCUGCGGAUUUCGCUUGAUAACGUGACGGAACCUCGUCGCCUUGUCAAGCCUCACGAAGGUCUAGGAUAGAAAUUGCGUGUCGUGAUCCAGUUAACUGGCCGAGGCCUACAUUCGCGGGCGCGAAAAAUUGCACCCCGCGUACUUGAAUAAGGUCGCAGACAAUGAACUUCGUGUUCGUUACCUUCGAAAUGCAAGAGCGAGGCGAGGAAAGUAUACGCGAAGCGCCUACCCGCUGUUCGUGAUCGAAAGAGAAACAAUAAUUGGAAAUGUCCUUCUCCCGCGCCUCUCUCGUGCGCGAAACUUCGAACGAGGAAACACGCAAAAGGUGGAAAAAUGCCGAACAUUGCAAAUGUGCCACACCUUGACAUUUUCACUUUAUUACUUUUACUUUUUCGUUACCCUAUCCAUCCUAACAUCGCUAAUGGGUUAUCGCCCUAAGUGCUGUUACAAGGGAUACGAGUCAUCGAUAAAGGAGAGAUGAUCCGUCUCAAUUUGUUAUUUUCGUGUCGAACGUUCUAUGUUCCAGUUUCUGCUUGGCAAUAACAAAAAAAAAAAA
This is a long non-coding RNA of Monomorium pharaonis (pharaoh ant), 10307 nucleotides long. RefSeq lists it as uncharacterized. NCBI's taxonomy places the organism in Eukaryota, Metazoa, Arthropoda, Insecta, Hymenoptera, Formicidae. The transcript is spliced from 2 exons. The record is from RefSeq and is a predicted model, not a curated record.